Perca fluviatilis (European perch) is the source of this 485-nucleotide long non-coding RNA. RefSeq lists it as uncharacterized. The record is from RefSeq and is a predicted model, not a curated record. The transcript has 3 exons. Lineage: Eukaryota; Metazoa; Chordata; Actinopteri; Perciformes; Percidae.
AUUUUUAUAUUAAAUAUGGGAGUUUAAAGCAGUGUUGCGGACAUUAUAUUAUUUUCGUUUUAAGUAUUUUCAUUUGUCCUGCACCUGCCAGAAGGUGGGAUGUGCACACAGUUACUUUUAUAAAAUUUGUAGGGGGCACCAAAGAGCUCCAUCCAUUCUGCUCCCCUCAGCUCCCUUUGUUGACCCAACCCAUCAUCCUGUCCUCCUACUUAGGAUGUUGUGUGCUGCUAUAACCCUCCGCUUCUGACAAUCACAAUGCACAGCCAAAGAAGGUCAUUGUCAGAAAACAGAUGGCAGCUCUUCAGGACUCCAUGCUAGCUGGCAUAGCUGAGACAGCAGGCCAUUCAUUCUUGAGAGAUAGAAGAUGACUGCCAGGGGGAUCCAGUCAUUGUGACAAUGAUAAUGUUAUAAAAAAUAUUUAUUAUAAAUAAUAAAUGUCUAUUUUUAUAUUAUUAUAUAUAAAUAAAUAAAUAAUUUAACUGCAA